This 253-nucleotide ribosomal RNA is filed under the name uncultured bacterium. RNAcentral describes it as "partial 16S ribosomal RNA". It matches the Rfam family "Bacterial small subunit ribosomal RNA", at positions 524 to 776 of the family's 1533-position model. The record is from RNAcentral.
GACGUAGGGUGCAAGCGUUAAUCGGAAUUACUGGGCGUAAAGCGUGCGCAGGCGGUUUUGUAAGCCAGAUGUGAAAUCCCCGGGCUUAACCUGGGAAUGGCAUUUGGGACUGCAAGGCUUGAGUGCGGCGGAGGAGACUGGAAUUCCUGGUGUAGCAGUGAAAUGCGUAGAGAUCGGGAGGAACACCGGUGGCGAAGGCGGGUCUCUGGGCAUCUCCUGACGCUGAGGCGCGAAAGCGUGGGGAGCAAACGGG